UUUAAUACAUUUAUAUAUAUAUUUAGUUAUAUAUAUAUCAACUUCUUUUUUAAAUUAUAGUUCAAGAAAAUAUUAAUUAUCUCUCUUCUUCUUUUUUGGCUUCAUGAAUAGAAGUUUUGGUUGUUUUUUAACCGCUUCACGAGUGACUAUUUUCAUAGAUUACAUUGAGAAUGUAAAUUUAAAAUCAAAUCCCAAUCACUUUAAGUAUAGUUACUAAGGGUGGGUUUGGAUGGGCGGUGCGUUUACCUACGAUUAGUGUAAAAACAGCGAUGGCAAUGAGAUUAGAUACUGUAGCGACACUGUAGCGUGAGACAAAAAGUAAGUUAAACGCACUGCACCGCAUCCAACCGCCCAUCCAAACCCACCCUAAAAGUAAAAAAAAAAAAAGAAAAAGUGUUUUUUUAUUAAAAAAAUUAUAAACAAAAACUAAAUGCAAAAAAUUGUAAUGCAAAGUCCUAAGAUAAUUAAAAUUAUAUUUAAAAUAAUUAAGCAAGUGAAAAGAGACUAAAUGAAAAGUAGAAAAAAAAUCCAAUAUAUAAUUUUAUUCGCAAAAUUUUAUAUAACAACAUAUUUUAUUUAUAUGCUCAUCAAUGUUAAUGAAAA
This 603-nucleotide long non-coding RNA is filed under the name Gossypium barbadense (sea-island cotton). Its description in RNAcentral is "long non-coding RNA (GBAR_LNC019122)". The record is from RNAcentral. Lineage: Eukaryota; Viridiplantae; Streptophyta; Magnoliopsida; Malvales; Malvaceae.